GGAAGCAUUGGAGUCAACUUGCAACUCAAUAUUAGGAAGGAACCUGAGAUAAAGGGAUCAGCCAACAAGAAAUGGAAGACCGUUGCAACCCCGCCAAAUAGACUUCAAAGAGGAAGUCAAGCAAGGAAAGAGGAAGUUGAGGAGUGUGCGUGAUAAUUAGACAUCUACAAUUACAGUAUCUAGCCAAGUCUGUUCUUCAUGUUGAAAUGUGAGAAUGGGGUAGUGGUUAACGUAUUCCAAUUAAACUAGCAAGUUUCAUUAAAAUGCUUUUUUCUUGAAUAAAAGUAAUAGUGAAUUUUG
Molecule: non-coding RNA, 300 nt
Organism: Salvelinus sp. IW2-2015
Lineage: Eukaryota; Metazoa; Chordata; Actinopteri; Salmoniformes; Salmonidae
Source: RefSeq, a predicted model, not a curated record